UGGGGAAUUUUGGACAAUGGGCGCAAGCCUGAUCCAGCCAUGCCGCGUGCAGGAAGAAGGCCUUCGGGUUGUAAACUGCUUUUGUCAGGGAAGAAAUCCUUUGGGCUAAUACCCCGGAGGGAUGACGGUACCUGAAGAAUAAGCACCGGCUAACUACGUGCCAGCAGCCGCGGUAAUACGUAGGGUGCGAGCGUUAAUCGGAAUUACUGGGCGUAAAGCGUGCGCAGGCGGCUUUGCAAGACAGAUGUGAAAUCCCCGGGCUCAACCUGGGAACUGCAUUUGUGACUGCAAGGCUAGAGUGCGGCAGAGGGAGAUGGAAUUCCGCGUGUAGCAGUGAAAUGCGUAGAUAUGCGGAGGAACACCGAUGGCGAAGGCAAUCUCCUGGGCCUGCACUGACGCUCAUGCACGAAAGCGUGGGGAGCAAAACAGGAUUAGAUACCCUGGUAGUCCAACGCCCUAAAACGAUGUCAACUGGUUGUUGGACGGCUUGCUGUUCAGUAACGAAGCUAAACGCGUGAAGUUGACCGCCUGGGGAGUACGGCCGCAAGGUUGAAACUUAAA
RNAcentral lists this ribosomal RNA (561 nucleotides) under uncultured bacterium. Its description in RNAcentral is "partial 16S ribosomal RNA". It matches the Rfam family "Bacterial small subunit ribosomal RNA", at positions 355 to 905 of the family's 1533-position model. The record is from RNAcentral.